RNAcentral lists this ribosomal RNA (430 nucleotides) under Pseudomonadota bacterium. RNAcentral's name for it is "Proteobacteria bacterium partial 16S ribosomal RNA". It matches the Rfam family "Bacterial small subunit ribosomal RNA", at positions 355 to 776 of the family's 1533-position model. Lineage: Bacteria; Pseudomonadati; Pseudomonadota. The record is from RNAcentral.
UGGGGAAUAUUGGACAAUGGGCGAAAGCCUGAUCCAGCCAUGCCGCGUGUGUGAAGAAGGUCUUCGGAUUGUAAAGCUCUUUUAGUUGGGAGGAAGGUACUGGUAUUAAUACUACCAGGUACUGGACGUUACUCGCAGAAUAAGCACCGGCUAACUCUGUGCCAGCAGCCGCGGUAAUACUGAGGGUGCGAGCGUUAAUCGGAUUUACUGGGCGUAAAGCGUGCGUAGGCGGCUAAUUGAGUCGGAUGUGAAAUCCCCGAGCUUAACUUGGGAAUUGCAUUCGAUACUGGUAGGCUAGAGUGUGGGAGAGGAAGAUAGAAUUUCCUGUGUAGCGGUGAAAUGCGUAGAUAUAGGGAGGAACACCAGUGGCGAAGGCGACCACCUGGGCUCAUACUGACGCUGAGGUGCGAAAGCGUGGGGAGCAAAAAGG